RNAcentral lists this ribosomal RNA (496 nucleotides) under uncultured bacterium. Its description in RNAcentral is "bacterial SSU rRNA". It matches the Rfam family "Bacterial small subunit ribosomal RNA", at positions 28 to 513 of the family's 1533-position model. The record is from RNAcentral.
GACGAACGCUGGCGGCGUGGAUUAGGCAUGCAAGUCGAACGGUAGGAUACCUUCGGGUAUCUGAGAGUGGCGAACGGGUGAGUAACACGUAGGUGAUCUACCCUCAAGAUUGGGACAACCCAGGGAAACUUGGGCUAAUACCGGAUGAAAGCAGCAGUGAUGUUGUUUGAAAGGUGGCGUAAGCUGCCGUUUGGGGAUGAGCCUGCGCUCUAUUAGUUAGUUGGCGGGUAAAGCCCACCAAGGCGAUGAUAGAUAGGCGGCCUUAACGGGUGGUCGCCCACACUGGGAUUGAGAUACGGCCCAGACUCCUACGGGAGGCAGCAGUCGAGAAUAGUCUACAAUGGUCGGAAGACUGAUAGUGCGACGCCGCGUGAACGAUGAAAUCCCUUCGGGGUGUAAAGUUCUUUUAUAUGUGAGCAGUGCUUCUUAUAUUAACAGUAUGGGGAGAGAGAUAUUAGCAUAUGAAUAAAGCAAACGGCUAAACUCCGUGCCAGCA